AGCAGCCGCGGUAAUUCCAGCUCCAAUAGCGUAUAUUAAAGUUGUUGCAGUUAAAAAGCUCGUAGUUGAAUUUCGGGGUUAGUAGGUUGGUCGUGCCACUGGUAUGUACUGGCCUCACUGAUUCCUCCUUCUUGAAGAACCGUAAUGCCAUUAAUUUGGUGUUGCGGGGAAACAGGACUGUUACUUUGAAAAAAUUAGAGUGUUUAAAGCAGGCUAACGCUUGAAUACAUUAGCAUGGAAUAAUGAAAUAGGACGUUCGAUCCUAUUUUGUUGGUUUCUAGGAUUGACGUAAUGAUUAAUAGGGAUAGUUGGGGGCAUUAGUAUUCAAUUGUCAGAGGUGAAAUUCUUGGAUUUAUUGAAGACUAACUACUGCGAAAGCAUUUGCCAAGGAUGUUUUCAUUAAUCAAGAACGAAAGUUAGGGGAUCGAAGACGAUCAGAUACCGUCGUAGUCUUAACCAUAAACUAUGCCGACUAGGGAUCGGAUGAUGUUAAUUUUUUAAUGACUCAUUCGGCGCCUUACG
This 522-nucleotide ribosomal RNA is filed under the name uncultured Glomus. RNAcentral's name for it is "SSU rRNA". It matches the Rfam family "Eukaryotic small subunit ribosomal RNA", at positions 569 to 1092 of the family's 1831-position model. The record is from RNAcentral. Lineage: Eukaryota; Fungi; Glomeromycota; Glomeromycetes; Glomerales; Glomeraceae.